UAAUGUCAUUAUGGAGAUCAUCUACCUGCUGGCUGGAGAGGUGAGGGAUUCUGGGUAAUGUCAUUAUGGAGAUCAUCUACCUGCUGACUGGAGAGGUGAGGGAUUCUGGGUAAUGUCACCAUGGAGAUCAUCUACCCGCUGGCUGGAGAGGUGAGGGAUUCUGGGUAAUGUCAUUAUGGAGAUCAUCUACCUGCUGGCUGGAGAGGUGAGGGAUUCUGGGUAAUGUCAGUCUGGAGAUCAUCUAACUGCUGACUGGAGAGGUGAGGGAUUCUGGGUAAUGUCAGUAUGGAGAUCAUCUACCUGCUGACUGGAGAG
Pelobates cultripes (western spadefoot toad) is the source of this 315-nucleotide non-coding RNA. Lineage: Eukaryota; Metazoa; Chordata; Amphibia; Anura; Pelobatidae. The record is from the annotation of a GenBank genome assembly.